UUCAGACAGAACACAGACAUACAUAAAGAACAUAAAGUAACUUACGGGUGAGCGAACACCGCGCCAGAGGUUCAGACAGACUUGUUGCUGUAUUUUUUUUUUAGGUUGGAGUGGGUAGUCCUUCCCUUUACAUGACAAAAUGGAUACUCUGAUACAUCUUGUAACGUGGUAAGAGGUGGAAGGGGGCGGCUUACGCCGCUUUCUAUGAAGGCAAUUUAUACACGACUGUAAUGUGGAAUGGGUCGAAAGGGGGGCGACUUACGCCCCUUCCAUGAAGGCAAUUUAUACACCAAUAGUUACAAUUUUUCCAAGUAUCGAAAUAUAUUUUUUAUUUUUUAUACUAGAAUUAUUCAUUUUAGAAAAAAUUGAAAUAUUUAAAAGAAUGAAAUUUUGAUAGAGUGUGUUAAACCUUACCCAAAACCCAACACCCGAUUUUGAGAUAGACUUGUAAUAUUUGCUAGUGAUGUGGAAUAAGAUAAUAACAACUUUUUGUAUAUAAAUAUUUGUAAUUUAAAAUAGAAAAAAA
Hydra vulgaris (swiftwater hydra) is the source of this 526-nucleotide non-coding RNA. The record is from RefSeq and is a predicted model, not a curated record. NCBI's taxonomy places the organism in Eukaryota, Metazoa, Cnidaria, Hydrozoa, Anthoathecata, Hydridae.